Molecule: transfer RNA, 75 nt
Filed under: subsurface metagenome
Description: tRNA-Ile
Rfam family: tRNA
About the family: Transfer RNA (tRNA) molecules are approximately 80 nucleotides in length. Their secondary structure includes four short double-helical elements and three loops (D, anti-codon, and T loops).
Source: RNAcentral
GGGCUCGUAGCUCAGUUGGUUAGAGCGCACGCCUGAUAAGCGUGAGGGCGUUGGUUCAAAUCCAACCGAGCCCAC